AGCGGAGGAAAAGAAACUAACAAGGAUUCCCCUAGUAACGGCGAGUGAAGCGGGAAUAGCUCAAAUUUGAAAUCUCACAGGGUUACCUGUGCGAAAUUGUAGUUUAGAGAAGCGUUUUCGGGGGUAACUUGGGUAUAAGUCCUUUGGAAUGAGGCAUCAUAGAGGGUGAGAAUCCCGUUUAUGACCCAAUGUUUGCUCCUAUGUGAUACGCUUUCCAAGAGUCAGGUAGUUUGGGAUUGCUGCCUAAAAUGGGUGGUAAAUACCAUCUAAAGCUAAAUAUUGGCGAGAGACCGAUAGCGAACAAGUACCGUGAGGGAAAGAUGAAAAGAACUUUGAAAAGAGAGUUAAACAGUACGUGAAAUUGCCAAAAGGGAAACGCUUGGAACCAGUAUUGUCUACAGGUAAUCAGCCACACAGCCCGCAAGGGUUUGUGCGGUGCACUUGCCUGCAGACAGGUCAACAUCAGUUUGGUUUGGGGUAAAAAGCCGGAGGAAGGUAGCUUGGGCUUCGGCCUGAGUGUUAUAGCCUCCGGUCAUGCCUUGGACUAGACUGAGGUCUGCAGUGUUAUUUGGGUACCCAAUCGCCUCCUGAACCUUGCUUUCAGACAGCUUGCUGACUGUAAGUAAGGCUAGGGAGCCCGGUUAGUUUACCACACCAACUCUUAGGAUGU
Molecule: ribosomal RNA, 670 nt
Filed under: Rhizophydium sphaerotheca
Lineage: Eukaryota; Fungi; Chytridiomycota; Chytridiomycetes; Rhizophydiales; Rhizophydiaceae
Description: LSU rRNA
Rfam family: Eukaryotic large subunit ribosomal RNA
Source: RNAcentral